CCCCCUAAGCCUCUUCCAGGCUGAACAGUCUCAGUUCUUUCAGCUUCUCUUCAUGUGACAUUAUCCUCUUCCUUUGUUAUUUUUGUGCCCCUUCACUGCACCUGCUGCAGUAGCUUCCUGUCUCAUACCAGUAAGCCCAGAGCUCCAGAUGUAUUUCACUAGAACUGAGUACAGGAGAGGGAAUUCCUCUGCUGACCUGCUGUCAAUGCCUUGCCUAACGUGACUCUGGAGGUCGCUGACCUCCUCUGCUGUGAAGGCACAGUGUUGGCUUGUGGUCAGCUUUUUGUCCUGCAGAACCCAGAUUCCUUUCUGUAGUGCUUCUCCUCAUCCUGUCAUUAUGUACUGGGGAGUCAUUCCUUGACAGACACAGGACUUUGUAUUUCUUGUUGAAUAUCACAUGAUUCUUUUCAGCCUAAUACUGCAGCCAAUCCAGCUCCCUUUGAAUGGCAGCACACUCAACUAUUGCCUCAGCAGCAAUGUUGUACCAUCUACAAACUUGAUGAGAGUGCACUUUGUCCAGACGUUCAGGUCAUUAAUGAAGAUAGACAAUGUUGGCCCUGAUGUUGUCCCCUGGCAUACUUGUUGUGGUUUCAAGAUUUCUGCUAUUGAUAUUCCACAUCAUAGCAUCAGGUAAUGCACAGGGAGUUAAAGAGUUGAGGCUUCAGUUCCAUGGACUGUUGAUAGUUCCAGGUACAUUUCACAGAAGAGAAAGAAUGAACUGUAUCUCCCAGAAUACUUCACUGUUCCAUUUCCAUUUUCUGUUUAAAGGAAAAGAGAAAACUGGGAGUCAUGAGACUUCUUUUUCUGCUUGGCUCUGCAGUGUAUGCUCCCUAGCUGUCUCACCUUCAACAUUAGAAUAUAAUUGUUAGGUGAGAAGAUGAAAAAUUCACUGUAUUCUGCAGUGAAGAAAGACAGUUUUCUUUGUAUGAAUGGCAGAACAGCCCCAUGGCAAGACUUGUAGGGUGAGUUAAUACCUUUUUCUGGACUAACUGAAAAAAAUAGAGAAGACAUGAAAGCAGCUUUCAGUUCUGAAAUGGGGGAUGUAUGGAGAAUAAUUAGUAUUGACCUCCAAAGGUAAAUCCAGACUGAGAACAGUUGUAAUGACUGCAACUGCACAAUGUUGCUCAGUUAAGGAAAAAUUAAAUGUAAUGCAGUGGAGAAAAGGAGAAAGAAAUGAAGAGUUUAGUGUUCAGAUCACAUACACUGAGCCAAAAAUUUGCAUAUAUCACAUGUGAGAUGCCUCUGCUAAGUGAAAAAGCAUCAUUGAUUUUACCCCUACAGACUAAAGCACCAUGAAUUUCUACCAACCACUGUAAGUAUGCUUGCUUCAUCACAUUUUUUCCACUCUCUGUCAAGACCAGUGGGGUGAGAAUCCUCCACAAGGGAAACAGUGGGGCAAAAGUACUAAGAGAAUCUGCUGGGAAAAGGUGAAAAGGAGUUGGGGGGUGUUGUCUGUAAGAGUGGAUGUGAUGAUGCCCCAAAUUGCAGGUGUAUUUAGGAUGUUGGCAGCAGUAUUUUCUUUGUGUAACUCUGCUUCAUGG
This 1541-nucleotide long non-coding RNA is filed under the name Phasianus colchicus (ring-necked pheasant). RNAcentral describes it as "lncRNA (ENSPCLG00000016784.1)". Lineage: Eukaryota; Metazoa; Chordata; Aves; Galliformes; Phasianidae. The record is from RNAcentral.